GAGCUCGGGGCACCUCCACCAUGGCCUGGACCCCUCUCCUGCUCCCCCUCCUCACUCUCUGCACAGGCUCUGUGACCUCCUCUGUGCUGACUCAGUCACCUGCGGUGUCUGUGUCGCUGGGACAGACAGCCAGGAUCACCUGCCAGGGAGGAGAAUUAGGAAUAGUUCCUGCUCACUGGUACCAGCAGACGCCAGGCCAGAGUCCUGCACUGCUACUCUAUAAUGACAAUAACCGGGCUUCGGGGGUCCCUGACCGAUUCUCUGGGUCCCGCUCAGGUGGAACGGCCACCCUGACCAUCACUGGGGCCCAGGCUGAGGACGAGGCUGACUAUUUCUGUGAGUCUUUGGACAACAGUGGUUAUGUCGGCACAGUGACACGGGCAGAUGGGGAAGUGCCUCCUCCCUCCUUCCAAGCUGGCUUGAGACUGCAGGUCUCCAUGGAGAUCUGGAUUCAGAGAAGCCAUUUAUGA
Tupaia belangeri chinensis (Chinese tree shrew) is the source of this 470-nucleotide non-coding RNA. The record is from the annotation of a RefSeq genome assembly. Lineage: Eukaryota; Metazoa; Chordata; Mammalia; Scandentia; Tupaiidae.